UGAGGGUAACCAGUUACAGGCAGUAGUGAUGGUGCUGGUGGUGGUGGUGGGAAAGGGGGUUCCUUGCAUUGAUCAUACCCAUAGAAUAGACCAUUAAUUGCACCAAUGCUGGGAACUGUGGGUGCAGCCACACUGGAGGGCAACACCCAAAGACCAAGACUGAGGACAAGACAUCUCAAUGAAGACCAAUGAAAGCCUGAGGGACAGACAAGGACAAGAAGCCUGUGAGAGGUUCAAGGCCCCUCCUGCGAAGGCAUGAUGUCCUGUAACCUAAUUGUGCAGUGUUAUACUAAGGAACUGGAUGUAGUAAAAUUCCAAGGAGUGAGAGCUAGCUACUAAGAAUGUCCUUCUCAAAUAACUUCACUUGCAUCAGGGCAUUAACUUGAGGAAUGGCAAUGAUGGUUUGCUCCAAGAUAGAAGACUCUAAGAUGGUUUGCUCCAAGAUAAAACAGUUUCUAAAAAGGCUCACUGUUCUGCUAUAGCUUAGAAGACAAAAUAAACUGCAAGAAUUAUUCAAUACAACUUCCCAUUCUGAAUUAAGAUUUUCACCACUUGGUUGCUAAAGAGAUAUUAAAUACUGUGAAGAAAAUCAAAAGGAUACUCUGAGAGGAAUCACAAGGAUAAUGGAAGAUAUGACCGAAGAGGCAGAGAUCAAUGGGACAACCUUCUUGAGCAAGAUGAAGAAAAGCCAGAGACCUUGAAAGCAACCUGGUGACAAUGACAGACCCAUAAAAUGGAAGAAUGCUGGAUCCAUGAAUCACUACUUGGAAGAGAGCUGCCUGCUGACUGAAGACACCUGCUUUGGACUAUAUAUGCAAUAAAUAAACUUUUAUUGUAUUAAGACA
Molecule: long non-coding RNA, 845 nt
Organism: Canis lupus familiaris (dog)
Lineage: Eukaryota; Metazoa; Chordata; Mammalia; Carnivora; Canidae
Exons: 6
Source: RefSeq, a predicted model, not a curated record